RNAcentral lists this ribosomal RNA (477 nucleotides) under uncultured bacterium. RNAcentral describes it as "partial 16S ribosomal RNA". It matches the Rfam family "Bacterial small subunit ribosomal RNA", at positions 899 to 1397 of the family's 1533-position model. The record is from RNAcentral.
ACUCAAAGGAAUUGACGGGGGCCCGCACAAGCAGCGGAGCGUGUGGUUUAAUUCGACGCAACGCGCAGAACCUUACCCAGACUUGACAUGCAGCUGCAGGCGGCGGAAACGCCGCGGCCUUGGAGGGUGCUGCACAGAUGCUGCAUGGCUGUCGUCAGCUCGUGUCGUGAGAUGUUGGGUUAAGUCCCGCAACGAGCGCAACCCCCGCGGCCAGUUAUCGGUGUCUGGCCGGACGGCCCUUCGGGGAGGAAGGCGGGGAUGACGUCAAGUCCGCAUGGCUCUUACGUCUGGGGCGACACACACGCUACAAUGGCGCCGACAGCGCGCGGCGACCCGGCAACGGGGAGCGAAUCGCCAAACGGCGCCUCAGUGCAGAUCGGGGGCUGCAACUCGCCCCCGUGAAGGCGGAGUUGCUAGUAACCGCGUAUCAGCCACGGCGCGGUGAAUACGUACCCGGGCCUUGCACACACCGCCCGU